This 405-nucleotide RNase P RNA is filed under the name Desulfobacter sp. RNAcentral's name for it is "RNase P RNA component class A". It matches the Rfam family "Bacterial RNase P class A". Rfam says of the family: Ribonuclease P (RNase P) is a ubiquitous endoribonuclease, found in archaea, bacteria and eukarya as well as chloroplasts and mitochondria. Its best characterised activity is the generation of mature 5'-ends of tRNAs by cleaving the 5'-leader elements of precursor-tRNAs. Cellular RNase Ps are ribonucleoproteins. The record is from RNAcentral. Lineage: Bacteria; Pseudomonadati; Thermodesulfobacteriota; Desulfobacteria; Desulfobacterales; Desulfobacteraceae.
CUGACCGGCACAAACGGUCGCUGGGCGAAUUAACGCCGGGAGGAAAGUCCGAACACCACAGGGCAGGACGCUCCAUAACGUGGAGUCACGGUGACGUGAAGGAAAGUGCAACAGAGAGUAGACCGCCCAGCCACUCACUCAAUCGAANNUUCGAUUGAGUGAGUGGCUGGGUAAGGGUGAAACGGUGCGGUAAGAGCGCACCAGUUCUCCGGGUGACCGGGGAAGCUUGGUAAACCCCGUCCGGUGCAAGACCAAAUAGAGAGACGCUUGAGGGCUGCCCGCCCAAGUCUCCGGGUAGGUUGCUCGAGAUGUAUGGCAACAUGCAUCCUAGAUGAAUGACCGUUGAUCUUUUUGCGGGUAACCGCAAGAAGGUAACAAAAUUCGGCUUACGGGCCGGUCAGACCG